UUUACUCCCUUCCAUUUCCUAUCUACGCCACCGCCUCCUGGUCGGGUCCCGCUUGCCACCGAUCCACCUCCCCGUCGCCAGUAGCUGGGGAAGCAAUAAAUUAGAUGUUCGAAUCUUGCACGCGCAGCAGCUGCCCCUUCUUAUUGCAUUUGGCGUAGUAAAGAAAGAGGGGGGUAGUCGUCGAUCGACGUCGACGGUGGCAGAAAAGGAGAUGGAAGCCUCCAACAGAAUCCAAAAGCAACGUCGAUCCGAAGUUAUCCACGAAAGGUGGAAAAAUAGGCGUUGACGAAGAGCAACCGAGAGCCAAGUAAAAAAGAGGAAGAAGGAAAAGUAGCCAAUUCGAUCUCACGCACCCGUUUGACGCGGUUUCCCAAAUCCAAAGGUCUCUCCUUUUUCUACUCCGUCCCUCCUAUCCCCUUCUUCUUCUUCUUCUUCUUCUUCUUCUUCUUCUUGUAUCUAAUUCUCCGUUGAAGACCACGGUGAGAGGUUGGGCGGCCGGAGGAUGGAGACCGCGGAGGGGCAGAUCAGGGGAAUCCUCACCCAUGGCGGCCGCUACGUGCGGUACAACGUGUACGGCAACCUGUUCGAGGUCACCGCCAAGUACGUCCCGCCCCUGCGUCCCCUCGGCCGAGGGGCUUACGGCAUCGUCUGUGCUGCUGUGAACUCGCAAACUCGUGAAGAGGUAGCUAUUAAGAAGAUUGGUAAUGCAUUUGAUAAUCGUAUCGAUGGCAAGAGAACUUUGAGGGAAAUAAAGCUUCUGUCCCACAUGGACCAUGAAAACGUUAUUGGAAUCAAGGACAUCAUACGCCCACCACAGAGGGAAAACUUCAGUGAUGUUUACAUUGUAUAUGAGUUAAUGGAUACUGAUCUAAAUCAGAUAAUCCGCUCUAAUCAAAUAUUGACUGACGAUCACUGCCAGUACUUCUUAUAUCAGAUACUACGGGGUCUGAAAUAUGUACACUCAGCAAAUGUCUUGCACCGUGAUCUUAAACCAAGCAAUUUGUUCUUAAAUGCAAAUUGUGACCUUAAAAUAGGAGACUUUGGAUUAGCAAGAACAACUUCUGAAACAGAUCUGAUGACAGAGUAUGUUGUCACUCGCUGGUACCGAGCACCUGAGCUGCUCCUUAAUUGCUCAGAGUAUACUGCUGCAAUUGAUAUUUGGUCAGUAGGGUGCAUACUUGGAGAAAUUGUAACCAGGCAACCUUUGUUUCCUGGGAGAGACUAUGUUCAGCAGCUGAGGUUAAUCACUGAGCUGAUAGGUUCACCGGAUGACUCGAGCCUUGGGUUUCUUCGAAGUGAAAAUGCUCGAAAAUAUGUAAAACAGCUGCCAAGAUAUCCAAGACAGAAUUUUGCACUCAGGUUCCCCAAUAUGUCUCCUGGAGCUCGUGAUUUGUUGGACAGAAUGCUCGUGUUUGAUCCAAGCAAGCGAAUAACAGUUGAUGAGGCUCUGCAUCACCCUUACUUGGCACCUCUUCACGACAUCAAUGAUGAGCCUGUGUGUGCAUCCCCGUUUAGUUUUGAUUUUGAGCGACCAUCAUUCACCGAGGAAAAUAUCAAAGAGCUCAUCUGGAGGGAAUCUUUGAGAUUCUAUCCAGAUCCAUGAUAAUAUGGUACCUGUAUGUUUUACCACAGCAUGUCUGUUCUGUCUAGAGAAGUAUCACUGUCAUGGGGAUCAAUCAUUAUUGAUGCAUCUUUCUAAGUUCCACUGAGUCUAAAUUGGUUUUGCAACUUGGGGUUAGACAUCUGACUACUAGUGCUAUGGUAUUAGCGUCUGGAUGCUUAGGAAUCUAAUCGCUAGUUUCUUCCAUAUUCCUACAGUCCUGUUGGAAGAUGUCAUCUGAGGAAAGGUAUCAUUUGAGGUCGAAUACAUUUUGUGACUUGGAUUAGUUGAGUGCUAUAAUGGAUUGGAUUUGAUUGUUAUUGACCUAUUACUCGUCUGUAUACUUCAAGCAUGAGAUAGAUUCCAUGUUUACUGAUAACAACUAUGCUGUAAAUUAUGUAAAUUAACUUGAGUGUACCAUUAUUUGCAUGACA
Molecule: RNA transcript, 2034 nt
Organism: Musa acuminata AAA Group (dessert banana)
Lineage: Eukaryota; Viridiplantae; Streptophyta; Magnoliopsida; Zingiberales; Musaceae
Gene name: mitogen-activated protein kinase homolog MMK2-like
Exons: 7
Source: RefSeq, a predicted model, not a curated record